CACUGAACCUUAUCAUUUAGAGGAAGGAGAAGUCGUAAUAAGGUUUUCGUAGGUGAACCUACGGAAGGAUCAUUGUCUAAACCUGUAAAACAGACCACGAACUCGUGUUUUAACUAUCUCAGGUGCCGCAGCUCCGGCCAAGCCCCCUGUCGCGGCCCCUCUCCCCGCCCGGCGAGUUUAAGAGCUCUAGUCAUGCAGGCUAAUGAACCCCCAGUGUGGCAUGCGCCAAGGAAAACUCAACGAAGUGCCUCCUCCUUGCURCCCCGUUCGUGGUGCUCUCGGGGGGAUAAUGCGUCUCUUGAAAUAUCAAAAUUACUCUCGGCAACGGAUAGCUAGGCUCUCAUAUUGAUUAAGAAUGUAGCAAAAUGUGAUACUUUGUGUGAAUUGCAGAAUCCUGUAGACUAUCAAGAUUUUGAACGCAAGUUGAGCCUAAAGCCAUUAGGCCCAGGACACGUCUUCCUGGACGUCACCCCCAUGCUCUUUGGUGCGCGUUCGACCCAAACUUAAUCCCGCUUCGACCUGUGUCGCGACCAGUGGUGGUUCAAAACUCGAGUUGUGUGCGGUCACGAAGUCUCGCGUCAUAGCUCGAACAUCGUCAAAGAACCAAUGAUGUUUUAGGGUGCCUUCGACCGCGACCCUAGGUCAGGCGGGAUCACCCACUGAGUUUAAGCAUAUCAAUAAGCGGAGGA
Molecule: unclassified non-coding RNA, 689 nt
Filed under: Buddleja lindleyana
Lineage: Eukaryota; Viridiplantae; Streptophyta; Magnoliopsida; Lamiales; Scrophulariaceae
Description: partial contains small subunit ribosomal RNA, internal transcribed spacer 1, 5.8S ribosomal RNA, internal transcribed spacer 2, and large subunit ribosomal RNA
Source: RNAcentral